RNAcentral lists this ribosomal RNA (498 nucleotides) under uncultured bacterium. RNAcentral's name for it is "partial 16S ribosomal RNA". It matches the Rfam family "Bacterial small subunit ribosomal RNA", at positions 29 to 523 of the family's 1533-position model. The record is from RNAcentral.
AUUGAACGCUGGCGGCAUGCUUUACACAUGCAAGUCGAACGGUAACAGGCCGCAAGGUGCUGACGAGUGGCGAACGGGUGAGUAAUGCAUCGGAACGUGCCCAGUCGUGGGGGAUAACGCAGCGAAAGCUGUGCUAAUACCGCAUACGAUCUAUGGAUGAAAGCGGGGGACCGUAAGGCCUCGCGCGAUUGGAGCGGCCGAUGUCAGAUUAGGUAGUUGGUGGGGUAAAGGCUCGCCAAGCCAACGAUCUGUAGCUGGUCUGAGAGGACGACCAGCCACACUGGGACUGAGACACGGCCCAGACUCCUACGGGAGGCAGCAGUGGGGAAUUUUGGACAAUGGGCGCAAGCCCGAUCCAGCAAUGCCGCGUGCAGGAAGAAGGCCUUCGGGUUGUAAACUGCUUUUGUACGGAACGAAAAGGUUUGGGUUAAUACCCUGGGCCGAUGACGGUACCGUAAGAAUAAGCACCGGCUAACUACGUGCCAGCCGCCGCGGUAA